GAUGAACGCUGGCGGCGUGCCUAAUACAUGCAAGUCGAGCGAACAGACGAGGAGCUUGCUCCUCUGACGUUAGCGGCGGACGGGUGAGUAACACGUGGAUAACCUACCUAUAAGACUGGGAUAACUUCGGGAAACCGGAGCUAAUACCGGAUAAUAUAUUGAACCGCAUGGUUCAAUAGUGAAAGACGGUUUUGCUGUCACUUAUAGAUGGAUCCGCGCCGCAUUAGCUAGUUGGUAAGGUAACGGCUUACCAAGGCAACGAUGCGUAGCCGACCUGAGAGGGGGAUAGGCCACACGGGAACUGAGACACGGUCCAGACUCCUACGGGAGGCAGCAGUAGGGAAUCUGCCGCAAAGGGCGAAAGCCUGACGGAGCAACGCCGCGUGAGUGAUGAAGGUCUUCGGAUCGUAAAACUCUGUUAUUAGGGAAGAACAAAUGUGUAAGUAACUAUGCACGUCUUGACGGUACCUAAUCAGAAAGCCACGGCUAACUACGUG
RNAcentral lists this ribosomal RNA (497 nucleotides) under uncultured bacterium. Its description in RNAcentral is "partial 16S ribosomal RNA". It matches the Rfam family "Bacterial small subunit ribosomal RNA", at positions 28 to 507 of the family's 1533-position model. The record is from RNAcentral.